RNAcentral lists this small RNA (340 nucleotides) under Theobroma cacao (cacao). RNAcentral's name for it is "sRNA Tc09v2_g014990". Lineage: Eukaryota; Viridiplantae; Streptophyta; Magnoliopsida; Malvales; Malvaceae. The record is from RNAcentral.
AUGGGCAUGACCCAAUAGAAAAUAAGUGGGCAUGGCCUAAUAUGAAAUAAAAAUAAAUGGACUUGGCCCAAGUAGGAAAAAUGGAGAAGCCCAUGGAGAGGGCCCAAAAGUCAUAAAGAAAUGAAAAGGCCCAAUGUUAUCGUGGAGGCUUGCCGAACGAAGUAUGUGACCGACAAAUAGGAAUAAUUAUACGCGUACGAAUCAAUAGUGAAGUAAUAUCCCACUAUUAUGAGGUGAGUAGGGGGUGUCAACUUUAAAAAUUUCGUAUAUAUAUAUACAUGUACGUAUAUUUUACGUGAAGUGCAAAAUUUAUGGAAAGCAUGCGUUGAUAGAAUUUUAA